This 253-nucleotide ribosomal RNA is filed under the name uncultured bacterium. RNAcentral describes it as "partial 16S ribosomal RNA". It matches the Rfam family "Bacterial small subunit ribosomal RNA", at positions 524 to 776 of the family's 1533-position model. The record is from RNAcentral.
UACGUAGGGUGCAAGCGUUGUCCGGAAUUACUGGGCGUAAAGAGCUCGUAGGUGGUUUGUCGCGUUGUCCGUGAAAACUCACAACUCAAUUGUGGGCGUGCGGGCGAUACGGGCAGACUGGAGUACUGCAGGGGAGACUGGAAUUCCUGGUGUAGCGGUGAAAUGCGCAGAUAUCGGGAAGAACACCCGUGGCGAAGGCGGUUCUCUGGGACGGUACUGACGCUGAGACGCGAAAGCGUGGGGAGCGAACAGG